This 468-nucleotide ribosomal RNA is filed under the name uncultured bacterium. RNAcentral's name for it is "partial 16S ribosomal RNA". It matches the Rfam family "Bacterial small subunit ribosomal RNA", at positions 28 to 507 of the family's 1533-position model. The record is from RNAcentral.
GAUGAACGCUGGCGGCGUGCUUAACACAUGCAAGUCGAACGGUGAAGGCGGAGCUUGCUCUGCUGGAUCAGUGGCGAACGGGUGAGUAACACGUGAGCAAUCUGCCCCUGACUCUGGGAUAAGCGCUGGAAACGGCGUCUAAUACUGGAUACGAGCUGCGAAGGCAUCUUCAGCAGCUGGAAAGAACUUCGGUCAGGGAUGAGCUCGCGGCCUAUCAGCUUGUUGGUGAGGUAACGGCUCACCAAGGCGUCGACGGGUAGCCGGCCUGAGAGGGUGACCGGCCACACUGGGACUGAGACACGGCCCAGACUCCUACGGGAGGCAGCAGGGGGGAAUAUUGCACAAUGGGCGAAAGCCUGAUGCAGCAACGCCGCGUGAGGGACGACGGCCUUCGGGUUGUAAACCUCUUUUAGCAGGGAAGAAGCGAAAGUGACGGUACCUGCAGAAAAAGCGCCGGCUAACUACGUG